Molecule: ribosomal RNA, 253 nt
Filed under: uncultured bacterium
Lineage: Bacteria
Description: partial 16S ribosomal RNA
Rfam family: Bacterial small subunit ribosomal RNA
Source: RNAcentral
GACGAACUGUGCAAACGUUAUUCGGAAUCACUGGGCUUGAAGAGUGCGUAGGCGGUUUCGUAAGUAGGGUGUGAAAGCCCCCAGCUCAACUGGGGAACUGCGUCCUAAACUGCGAGGCUGGAGUGAGGUAGGGGUGUGUGGAACUUCCGGUGGAGCGGUGAAAUGUGUUGAUAUCGGAAGGAACGCCGGUGGCGAAGGCGGCAUCCUGGACCAAUACUGACACUGAGGAGCGAAAGCCAGGGGAGCAAACGGG